AAUGGUGCUUCUUGGAGUUGUA
RNAcentral lists this microRNA (22 nucleotides) under Macaca mulatta (Rhesus monkey). Its description in RNAcentral is "Mml-Novel-10_3p (mature (guide))". Lineage: Eukaryota; Metazoa; Chordata; Mammalia; Primates; Cercopithecidae. The record is from RNAcentral.